Molecule: ribosomal RNA, 2952 nt
Filed under: Chloroflexota bacterium
Lineage: Bacteria; Bacillati; Chloroflexota
Description: Chloroflexi bacterium partial 23S ribosomal RNA
Rfam family: Bacterial large subunit ribosomal RNA
Source: RNAcentral
AGGUCAAGCUACUAAGAGCGCACGGUGGAUGCCUUGGCACCACGGGCCGAUGAAGGACGUAGCGUUGCUGCGAUAAGCCUCGGGAAGCUGCUAGCAAGCGUUGAUCCGGGGAUUUCCGAAUGGGGCAACCCGCCUGGGGUAAUGCCCGGGCACUUCCGGCUGAACACAUAGGCCGGGUAGAGGGCACGCGGGGAACUGAAACAUCUUAGUACCCGCAGGAAGAGACGUUAUCCCCUGAGUAGUGGCGAGCGAAAAGGGGCCAGCCUAAACCGCGCCGGCGUGAUAGCCGGCAGGCGUUUCCGGCGCGGGGUCGUGGGACCUCCCUGCUUCUUCUGCCGGAGAAGCGAGGAGUUAAAAAGUCGUCAUCUAGCCGAACAGUUCUGGAAAGGCUGACCAUAGAAGGUGACAGUCCUGUAGGCGGCAGGUGUGCGACCUCCUGGGAGUGUUCCCAAGUACCACGGAACACGUGGAAUUCUGUGGGAAUCUGGGCGGACCAUCGUCCAAGGCUAAAUACCCGUGGUGACCGAUAGCGAACGAGUACCGUGAGGGAAAGGUGAAAAGCACCCCGGAAGGGGAGUUAAAAGUACCUGAAACCGUGUGCUUACAAACCGUGAGAGGGCUAUGCCCGCAAGGGAAUGCCUGAUUGCGUGCCUUUUGUAGAAUGAGCCGGCGAGUUACUUCUGUGUGGCGAGGUUAAGGGGGCGACACCCGGAGCCGAAGCGAAAGCGAGUCUGAACAGGGCGUGGCCCUCCCUUCUGGGAGGGUGGUAGUCGCACAGAGUAGACCCGAAACCGAGUGACCUAUCCAUGGUCAGGGUGAAGCGCGGGUAAAACCGCGUGGAGGCCCGAACCGACCCCGGUUGAAAACGCGGCGGAUGAACUGUGGAUAGCGGUGAAAUGCCAAUCGAACUCGGAGAUAGCUGGUUCUCCUCGAAAUGCAUUUAGGUGCAGCGUCGUCGUUGGGUCUGUUGCUGGUAGAGCACUGAAUGGGCUAGGGGCGAUCACCUCGUUACCAAACCCAACCAAACUCCGAAUGGCAGCAGAUCAUCCGGCGGCAGUGAGACUGUGGGGGCUAAGCUCCAUGGUCGAAAGGGAAACAGCCCAGACCACCGGCUAAGGUCCCUAAUCACGCGCUAAGUGGGAAAGGAGGUCACGGUGUCCAGACAACCAGGAUGUUGGCUUAGAAGCAGCCACCAUUUAAAGAGUGCGUAAUAGCUCACUGGUCGAAUGUCGUGGCGCCGACAAUGAUCGGGGCUCAAGCGCGUAACCGAAGCCGUGGAUGGCCCCUUAGGGGGUCGUGGUAGAGGAGCGUUCCGCGGGCGGAGAAGCAUGACCGUGAGGACAUGUGGAGCGCGUGGAAGUGCGAAUGCCGGCACAAGUAGCGAGAAACGCGUGAGAAACGUGUUCGCCGUAAGUCUAAGGUUUCCUGGGCAACGCUACUCGUCCCAGGGUCAGUCGGACCUAAGCCGAGGCCGAAAGGCGUAGGCGAUGGACAGCUGGUCAACAUUCCAGCACCACCGACCGUUCGUUAUCAGCAAUGGGGUGACGGGGAAGGAUGGGCCUUACGGGGCGCCGGUUGUCCCCGACGCAAACAGGUAGGGGGUCAGGUAGGCAAAUCCGCCUGGCGUAACCCCGAGAGAAUGCCAAGGUACCUAGUGCCGAUGGGGCCGAUUCCAUGCCUCCAAGAAAAACCUCUAGCGAGAACGGCGGUGCCCGUACCGCAAACCGACACAGGUAGACGGGAAGAGGAUUCCAAGGCGAUCGAGAGAAGCGUGGCUAAGGAACUCGGCAAAAUGUCCCCGUAACUUCGGGAGAAGGGGAGCCCUUGUCGGUGACCCGGUUCGCCCGGUGAGCUGGUGAGGGCCGCAGAGAAAAGGCCCAACCGACUGUUUACUAAAAACACAGGUCUCUGCCAAAGCGAAAGCUGACGUAUAGGGGCUGACGCCUGCCCGGUGCCGGAAGGUUAAGAGGAGGGGUGCAAGCCCUGAAUUGAAGCCCCGGUAAACGGCGGCCGUAACUAUAACGGUCCUAAGGUGGAAUCGCUGCCUUAGCAAAAUCUGGCUGUAUGCUGGAACAUCCGAGAAUCCCUCACUACUGUGUCUGAAGAGUUGAUACGGUGACAAUGUGAAGGGUGCGGACAAUCAGCAGGAAAGGCUGAUCGCACUGGCGAUCAGAAUCCUCAGAGGCCAUACGCCAGACGCCUGAGCUUUCAGGCGAAGAGAUGGUCCCAUCUGCAUGGCGACAUGCAGGGAGGCGGUUCGCAUACGCCUCCGCUCGGCUGAUGCCGGGUAAGAGUUGAGCGAAAUUCCUUGUCGGGUAAGUUCCGACCCGCACGAAUGGCGUAACGAGUUGGGCGCUGUCUCGGCCACGUACUCGGCGAAACUGAAGUACCUGUGAAGAUGCAGGUUACCCGCGGCAGGACGGAAAGACCCCGUGGAGCUUUACUACAACUUGCCACUGAAUUGGGGUCCAGCAUGUAGAGGAUAGCUGGGAGACUGUGAAGCGUGGCCGCCAGGUUGCGUGGAGUCAACGGUGGAAUACCAGCCUUGCUGGAUUUUAGUUCUAACUGACACCGUGAUCCGGUGUUGGGACCGUGGCAGGCGGGUAGUUUGACUGGGGCGGUCGCCUCCUAAACGGUAACGGAGGCGCCCAAAGGUUCCCUCGGCCUGGAUGGAAAUCAGGCUUAUAGAGUGCAAUGGCAUAAGGGAGCUUGACUGUGAGGCCAACAAGCCGAACAGGGACGAAAGUCGGGCAUAGUGAUCCGACGGCUCUGUAUGGAAAGGCCGUCGCUCAACGGAUAAAAGCUACCCCGGGGAUAACAGGCUUAUCUUGCCCAAGAGUUCACAUCGACGGCAAGGUUUGGCACCUCGAUGUCGGCUCGUCGCAUCCUGGGGCUGGAGUAGGUCCCAAGGGUUGGGCUGUUCGCCCAUUAAAGCGGUACGCGAGCUGGGUU